AACGAACGCUGGCGGCAUGCCUAACGCAUGCAAGUCGAACGCCUGUAGCAAUACAGGAGUGGCAGACGGGUGCAUAACACGUGGGAACCUACCCUUGGGUUCGGAAUAACCGCGGGAAACUGCGGCUAAUACCGGAUACGUCCUUCGGGAGAAAGAUUCAUCGCCCUUGGAGGGGCCCGCGUCGGAUUAGCUAGUUGGUGAGGUAACGGCUCACCAAGGCGACGAUCCGUAGCUGAUCUGAGAGGAUGAUCAGCCACACUGGAACUGAGACACGGUCCAGACUCCUACGGGAGGCAGCAGUGGGGAAUAUUGGACAAUGGGGGCAACCCUGAUCCAGCAAUGCCGCGUGGGUGAUGAAGGCCUUCGGGUUGUAAAGCCCUUUUGGCAGGGACGAUGAUGACGGUACCUGCAGAAUAAGCCCCGGCUAACUUCGUGCCAGCCGCCGCGGUAA
This 451-nucleotide ribosomal RNA is filed under the name uncultured bacterium. Its description in RNAcentral is "partial 16S ribosomal RNA". It matches the Rfam family "Bacterial small subunit ribosomal RNA", at positions 29 to 523 of the family's 1533-position model. The record is from RNAcentral.